UAGGGAAUCUUCGGCAAUGGACGAAAGUCUGACCGAGCAACGCCGCGUGAGUGAAGAAGGUUUUCGGAUCGUAAAACUCUGUUGUUAGAGAAGAACAAGGACGUUAGUAACUGAACGUCCCCUGACGGUAUCUAACCAGAAAGCCACGGCUAACUACGUGCCAGCAGCCGCGGUCAUACGUAGGUGGCAUGCGUUGUCCGGAUUUAUUGGGCGUAAAGCGAGCGCAGGCGGUUUCUUAAGUCUGAUGUGAAAGCCCCCGGCUCAACCGGGGAGGGUCAUUGGAAACUGGGGGACUUGAGGGCGGGAGAGGAGAGUGGAAUUCCAUGUGUAGCGGUGAAAUGCGUAGAUAUAUGGAGGAACACCAGUGGCGAAGGCGGCUCUCUGGUCAGUAACUGACGCUGAGGCUCGAAAGCGUGGGGAGCAAACAGG
Molecule: ribosomal RNA, 429 nt
Filed under: Gemmatimonadota bacterium
Lineage: Bacteria; Pseudomonadati; Gemmatimonadota
Description: Gemmatimonadetes bacterium partial 16S ribosomal RNA
Rfam family: Bacterial small subunit ribosomal RNA
Source: RNAcentral